CCUCCGAUUAGCACGGUUGGCUACGUGCGGUGCUCAAGCAACUGGCCACAAUACUCUAUUGUAUGCAUCUACGUUGAACUUAUUUCGCGCCGUACGUAGCCAACCGUGCGGGGGAAGGGCAGCAAACUAAUACAAACAAAAACUGUUCUAAAUAAAAUAGCGUGCCGUGUCGGGCCCGAAAUAGGUGCUCCGCUAGCAGCGAAUUCCGCCAACAGCCUGCGAGGCUCGGCAAGCGUGUGCCCGCAACGUACGCGCAACGUACGCGGCGGCUGAGCGACUCAAGCAAUUCAAAUGUAGUUCUCAGGCUCCAGUUGACAACGGAUCCGGUCCUGUAAGCAUCAAUUAUUUCCGAAUCACGUGGGGCUCGUUUUUUGUUAUUGUUGUUGUUGUAUGCGUGUGCGUUCGCACGUCCGCACAGGUGUACAUACGUUUGCACACGUGUUUACGUAUACAGCGCACACCCACGCGCGUGUAGAAGCACAGACACCCGCGUACGUACGUACAAGUGCGCGUUGCGCGUGUUUAACGUGCAACGCACACGAGUGCUCGCACAGACGUUGUUAGCCUCUCAAGAGGGGGGCGGCCACGACGUUUCCUGCUGGCGUUGGUGCAGAGGGAGCUUUGACUCGAGCGCACGCCAGUGGCACGGAGAGCACAGAGACCCCAUCGCAGUUUCAUCAGGGGCUCAUCACAGCCUCAUUCCAGGCCCUGUCACAGCCUCGUCACAGCCUCGUCACAGCCUCGUCACAGCCUCGUCUCAGGCCCUGUCACACCCUCGUAUCAGGCCCUGUCACAGCCUCAUUCCAGGCCCUGUCACACCCUCGUCACACCCUCGUCACAGCCUCGUCUCAGCCUCGUCACAGCCUCGUCUCAGGCCCUGUCACAGCCUCGUCUCAGGCCCUGUCACAGUCUCAUCACAUGCCCACGAGUGCCCCACCUCAUCCCCAUCACUACCCUCAGUCCUGCUAAAGGUUUAAAUCACGGGCUGAGCUGACCUCGUGGUGAAACCUACUCGCAACUGUGCUGGAUAGCAACAAGCCCACGGUUCGAUCCCCGUGGGCUUGGCCGUUACGAAGCCUCCAACGUCGCCAUUCGUGAACGAGUUUUGGCCAUUGUGAGCCAUUGUGUUUAACAUCUCCCGAUGCCACAUUGGUUCUCCGCUGAGAUUGUCCGAUGGAGCUCGUUGGGGAUGAUGAUCAGUUUAAGACGUAGGCAUUCGUGACCGAUAUCCAUAAGUUUUUCUUUGGGUGAGAUGGCGUAAAUACCAACGUCAUCAAAUCUCGCUGUCGCCUGAUGAUGCCGGUUGUAAUUACUGGCGAAACGUCGUACUCGGAUUGUAAAUGUUGUGAAUUUGCUCUCCAAACACACCGGUGUACUGAACUAGUAACGAAUUGACACGUUCCGUUUACGUGACAAACCUUACUAAUUGGCCGUGUCGGGUGGUGGCGGGUUUAACGACACGCAUUUAAACGCGGGUCUAAACCCAAAAAAAUCUGUUAUGGAUGAUCGACGACGAGUCUCGGUCAGCUCUCCGGUUCCUGCAGGAAAUUACUACAGCCAUCUCCCCCCCCUCCUCCCAAACACUCACUUCCUAUAAAGAUGCUAUGCAGUGGUCAAAGAAUUGCGGGUGUUCGUUGCACGUUCGAGUUAAACACGAUUUGUUUUUUGCCGAAAAUUACCCCGGUCUCGUUCCAACUUCCCGUAGUGUAUUUAUAAACUAACACGUAAGUCAGGUUGGCGCUUAUAUAUAUAUUUUUUUGUUUAUUGUGGGUGGGGCGGGGGGGAGGGGGGUGACAUCCCUGGUGUCAUUCACGCAUCCCGCGGUUGGAAACGCACGCGCCUUGACGUGGCUUCAAGUGUUCGUCGUGGUCUCGUCGUAACGGCACGUGGGGCUGCCCCACCCGUGCCCACCCGAGAUUGUCCACGGACAAGAUCGUCGCCGGCCAUGAUCCAUCCACCGCUGGGUUGAAGGCCUCACCCAGGCCCCGUUGCCGGCUCUUCAACCGUCCCGCGACGAUCCUUGCCGGCGCCCGCGCGAGAGCCGAUUUCAUCGCUCCGUCUCUACGCGGCGGUAAUGCCUCUCCACCCCCUCCUCCCCCCCCCUCGUGUGACACGGGGAGCGUGAAGGAUGAGUGGUUAGUGAUGGGUUUUUGUGCGGAGGGUGGUGGCAGCGGUUUUGAGUUUUUUGUGAAAAAGCUGGCUGGCGUUUUUUCUUUUAUUGGGUUUUGCAAAAAAAAAAUUCCUUUUGUCAUUUAACAAUUAGGGAAAUGGGAUUUUGUUUGAGAUUAAAAACUCACGGGGGUCGGGUGUAAGUCGUCGUGUAAAGAGGAGCCAGGCUGGACAUACUUCGAUGUCGUCGUCAUUAUAGAGGGAAAAAUGCCUUAGCGUUACCAUGUUUUUGUUGGGUUUUUUUUACGCCCUCGCCGAGUGUCGGGACUUUUUUUUGUUUGCCGCGUUCGGAAUGCCUCCCGUAGACGUGUCCUGGGGUGUUCAGGGAGGAAUCGGAGCGGGACCCGGAGGGAACCGCGCUGCAACGCGCGGGGGGGCGGGGCGGGGGGGCGGCGCUACACUCGGCGCUGGCAACGCUCCCCGUUGCGUUUGUCCGCACCGCCGAUUAACCGGUUGGCUACAUACGGUGGUGCCAAAUAAGUUCCACGUACAGGGUGGUGACCCCUGUGCCCCCCCCCCCCACCCCAAGUUAAUUAUCCAAAACGUUAUUUUUUUAAAGGGAAAAGAAUGUUGGGGGGGGGGUGUGUCACGAAACAUCUGGACCACCCCUGUGCAUACUACCCCUUUAUUGCACGUGGCAGAUGGGGGGGGGGGGGGGUCACCCAUCCAAGCGCUGCCCAGGCUCUUAAAAUCCGACUUGGGCUUCCACGAAAGGAUGGGACGAUGCAAAGUGGCACUUUGGGGGAGCAAGAGUAAAGGGGGGGGGGGGGCAAACGCUUGAUCGAUUUGUUUUAUAUACAGUACAUGUGUGUAAAAGUGUUGGCUUGAAAACAACAAAGUAAAAUAAUGUUGAUACGUGAAUGGCGUCUUUUCUUAUUAUCGAACAGGAAUAAAGAUUUCUUUUUUUUAAAAUAUCUAUGAAAGUAAACUAUUUACUCCCGGCAUAUUAAGAGUCGGCGGCGUUCUUGUAAGCGUUCGUUUAGGAAGAUGCCACUCCUUUGCUGUUGCGUCUAACUCCGUUUUUCCUCGAGAAAAUCGAUCCAUAGUUUCAAAUUAUUUUUUCCCCGAGCUGAUCUCCGGUCAAGGCGCGCUCGGUUAUGGCUGUUACGCUCCCAGUUUGAAUACAUUUUCUCAUAUUCCACGUGGCCCGAUUGAUUACUUUAUAUAGUGGAUGUAAUUACAUGGUGUAAUGCUGUAAUAUUAAUAAAUAAAAUUACAUCUCUUUGAAAA
Non-coding RNA from Petromyzon marinus (sea lamprey), 3399 nucleotides. Lineage: Eukaryota; Metazoa; Chordata; Hyperoartia; Petromyzontiformes; Petromyzontidae. The record is from RefSeq and is a predicted model, not a curated record.